This 5943-nucleotide long non-coding RNA is filed under the name Daucus carota (carrot). RNAcentral's name for it is "long non-coding RNA (DCAR_LNC001518)". Lineage: Eukaryota; Viridiplantae; Streptophyta; Magnoliopsida; Apiales; Apiaceae. The record is from RNAcentral.
CAUUUUUUUUUAAUCUAUAAUAACUCAUUAUUAUUUGCACAUAAUUUUUUUUUUGUUUUGCUUUGUUUUAAUGUUGAUUGCAAUCGAUUGUUCUUUGUGUUCUAUGUGAUGGAAGAUUGGAGGUCAUAAUUUGGUCCUAACUGCAGCGUUUAUAUUACCCUACUUCACAUAUUUUCAUCAUAAUAUGCAACUCUUCAAUUUUGUCAUGCAAUGAUGAGGCUAAAUCCUGGUAGAUCUAACGGAGGCUUAUAAUAAACACCUUAAGGGUCCUGGUAGAAAUCUUACACAUUGGCCAAAACUGCUCAAGAAAUCUUCAGAUUAGUGAACAGAUAAGAUUCUGCUGAAGCUAAAUACUCUGUACCCAAAUUGGGUUAAAGAAACUGACAAGUCUACUACCUUUACAUAUGUAAUAUUGCAACAUGAACCCUAAAUAAUUUAAUCGUUGAUAAUUUUGCCUUUACUUGUGUUCUUCGUACUGGUAGAGAGUUUCAUGACCUUAUAUGGUAAUACUCUUGUUUGUUGUGUGAUUUUUUGCACCAUUUAUGUAUGCUAGGGCACUCCCUUCUCCAAUAUUAAAAUAGACAUCUCAGGUCUUUUAGCUAAUUGUUAUUAUGCAGGUAAUAGAUUCUCAGCUUACUUAACUACUUCAUCAUCCAGGGGAAAUAUUUUAAUGCCUUUUGCAAUAUUAUUUCUUUUAGUCGAUACAUAUCUGCAACUCAAAUUGCUAUCAUGUCCCUGAAUAUAUGUAAUAUGAAUUACAUAAAAUUAAACUGGGAUAGUAUAUAUGAUUAUUUUACUUGAAUUUCCGGUUACAACCUUAUAGGUAACUGACCGCCUAAUUCUCUCUCUUAUACUAAUAGUUCCAUAUAUUUUUCAUCCAGGAAACACAAAUAUAUGCCCAGGAAAACGGUCUUUUUUUCAUGGAAACCUCUGCAAAAACUGCUACCAAUGUCAAUGGCAUUUUCUAUGAGAUCUACAGAAUAUAAAUCCUGAAGGCAAAAAUGAGUCAUUUUUACUAUGACUGCCCCUCUCGGCCCUCUUAUUUACAAGCCCUGCCAUUACUCAAUAAUGUAGUAUAAUGUCUGACACAGCAUGCUCAUUAAUUAUGCAGACCUGUGUGUAAUUGAUGAUUACUUUUUCUGCUGCAAUUGACUCAUGCACCACUAUGUUUCCUCCCCUUUCAGAGUAACUUUUUAUCUUUCAAUUUCAAAUUUCAAAUUUCAUUGUUAUGUAUUUGUUCUACUUCUCCCCUGGAAACCCUCUUCCCAUUGUCGGUUGAAGCUCUUUCCUCAAUCAGCUUCUCCUUAAUAAACGAAGCAUCUGUGUAAUGGAUCAGGUAACGAUCUUUCAUGUAUAAAUAUAGAUACGCUGUUUACAACCGUGUUUUGAUUAAAUGACCUCUGUUGCACAGCGGAACAAGAUUUUCGAGUCUGAUGGGUUGUACCAUGGCCGGAGGUCUGAUGAUUUUAGUUUGGAUUCCUCUCUGCACUCUGGUGAAUGCUUUGCCUGUUUAUUGAGUCUGAUUUUGAUUAUGAUUUUGUAUUUUUAGGCGUUUGAUUUAGUUCUUUGUAUUUUCAGGUGCUGCAGUCCUGAACAGCUCAACGCUCAAGUAUUGACUGUGGAAACGUGAAAAGCAUUAUGUGAUCCUUUCAUUAAUGGUAAUGCUGAAUUGCUAGAUUCUUCAACCUCAUAAUCGGUGGGGAUAAAAGAUGCAUAGAUUAGAUUCCGGAGCAAGGACGAUGCCAGGUAUAUCACCUGAAGCUCAAAACAAACUAUACAGCUACUUUCAGGUACAAAAGAUUAUAUAUACACAUAUACGAAUGAUUCCUGUUGUCAGAUUUCUGCAAUUGUUAAAGUUUCUAAAUAUAAUCAGGAUGCUGCAAAAAUGAGAAGUACAAGGCAUUUGACAGAUACGGAUGAAUAUGUCAGUGGCAACAAUGAAGGCAUGCUGGCUGAUGUUGUUUCUAUUACAACUGCAUAUCAAGAAAAUGAAAUCUCUUUGUAUGAACAUCAGGAAUGAGAUUUUUACUGAUAUAGAGAUCCACAAUCAACAUAUACUUCCCAGGUACUCCCUCCGUCCCAGCCAAUUCUUUACGUUUGGUUUGGGUACGGAGGUUAAGAAAUAUGUAUAAAGUAGUGGAAAAGAGGAAGAAAAGAGGGUGAAGUGGUGGGACCCAUAAAUUUUUAAUGAAUAAAAGAGAGAUAGUGGAGUAAAAGUAGUGUGAAAACGGAGUAAAAGUAGUGUGAAAAGGAAGGAAAAGUUGGGAAGUGGUGGGACCCAUUGACUAUUUUUGGUAAGUUUUGGAAUGUAAAGAAUUGGAUGGGACAUCCCAAAAAGGAAACUGUAAAGAAUCUGGUGGGACGGAGGGAGUAACUUAUAUUAUCUUCACUUUACUUCACGUAAACAGAUAAGCUGUACUUUAUUUACAGAUGAAGAUCCAACUUUUCCGAAUAAAGAUCAUUGCAGUACUCCAUGAGCCUGAUGUUUAUCUGUUUUAACCAAUAUUUAUGCAGAGGAAUCCUCUAUUUAACCAAUAUUCAUGCAGAAGAGUCCUCUAUAAAGAUCUAAUAUUAUUUUUAUACAAUUUUUAGGUAUUCAUUCGUGUUAUCAAUGACAGAGAUGAACUUGAUGGAAAAUCUAAAUAAGUGAUAUGAUAUCUGACAGUUCUAAACUGCUAUAAUUUGUAGCUUAGAUAUGUGAUAGUAUUUGAGUUAACUAUCAUAUUAUGACACUUAUGGUGGUAUUUCACUGAAGCUAAUUCGAUUCAUUUUUAUUGAUAGUAUUGUGUGUAAAGUGAAGCUACAAGUUAGUGUGCAACUGUCGCAAACACAUAAUAUAGAUAGAAGCAUCACAAGUGUCUGGCCAACAAUAUAAAAUAUUGUUUUGGUGUGUCGUCACACACAAGAGAAUUCAAGAUAACACUAUAAAAUUAGUUUGAGCUUUACAUGAAAUUCCUCCUUGCUUUGAUAUAUGUAUACAUAAUCCACAGUCAAUGUGUCUACGCUGUAUAUGAGUAUAUAUAGGCUAAUGAGGCACAAGAUGGUCAUUACAAGCGAAAGUUCUUGGAAUUCAAAGCAAAAAAGAAGUUUUCAUUUCCGAUUUUUUAAUGCAAGGACAAGUCAUCGUGGAGAAGUUUAGUGAGCUAACAUAAUAAAUGAUGGUGAAAACAAGAUGAAGGUCAGAGUAUUCUUAUUCGGUGCGCGUCAUGCUCUCUCACUCAUGCAACUAUGCAAAAGGUAAGUUGAUGAGUCUGAAGAUUUCAACAAAGAGAUCCUGAACCUGAAUAAAGUGUAGUACUCUAUGAGAUUUUAUGGGGUUGAGUGCUCUCUGAUGAUGACUCAACAGAGUCAUAGAGUAUGCGCCAUAUGUUCUAAAUGUGGAUCUGUUUGAAAGUUUAUAUUUUUGAUAUUUCGUGUUGAAGUAUGUGUAAUAGACGAGGAAAUAUAUAACACUUCUACGCGGUGUCCCAAAUUUAUGUUGCAGAUAUGACAAGCAAGAAAUAUACUACUAAUAAACCAAUAUAAACAGAAGUAGUUAUAGAAUUUUGAAAACAUUCCAUACAUUGUUUUUUGAAUGAAAUUCAUGAAGAUACUUUCAGUAAAAAACAAUAAAUUUAAAAAGUUAUUUUUUGAAGACUAAUAUUUCUCGAUUGAAACGGCAUUCUUAAUCAAGAUAUGUUUUUCGAUUAACUUAUUUGAGAAAUAUAAGGUUUCCUCAUGUUAUAUUUAAUUAUUUUAAAAUUGACUUAAAAUUUUAUUUGAGAUAAUGUAAUUAUAAAUAAAUUAGGAGUUAAUUUAUCAAGAUACAUUUUUCCAAGUGAUUAAUUUAUAUCGAUAAUUACUAAAUAAAUAAUAAAUAUAAUUAUAAUUUUAUUUGGUUAUAUGGUUUUAUUAUAUUGCUAAAAACGUACAAUAUUUAAAAACUGAGGAUAUGUUAGUCUCUUUCGCUUUUUAUAAUGUUAUUUUAAGGUUUAUCACGUAACACUUUUAAUUAUUAUUUGGGUUGAAAUAUGAAAAUAUUUUUUGAAAUAUGAAAAUAUUUUUGUAUUCAUUUUCACACAUAUUAUCUUCUGAUAUUUUAUUUCAAUAUUCAUAUAAAGUGAUUCUUUAUAUUAAUCAUUAAUUUUUAUUCAACAUUUUGAUAACUACAAAAUGUAUGUAAAUUAUUGUUUGCUAUAAAAUUUUAAAAUAUAAAACAUUUGACUAAAAUGCGAAUCGUCGCUUCGCGUAUAAAUCAUUUUGAUUAUAAGAUAUUAAAUAUUCGAUUAAAGGGUGAGGUGUCGCCGCUAGGCGGUGCCGAGAAGCGACUUUUUAUAUACUAAAAAAUAUUACGUAUUUCUCGAAUAUAAAUAAAUUUUAAUUCAGAAUCAACUUUUAUAAAUGUUACGUUAUUCGCGAACAUAAAUAUAUUAUAUAACAAUUAAAUAAGAUAAAUAUUACGUUAUUUGUUCACAAAUAUAGAUUUAUGAGUAUAUCAUAAUUUCAAUAAUUGAUCAUAUUUAUUGUGAGAUUGUUUUGGUUUUUUAAUAAAUAUUUUUAAGAUAACUAAAUAAAUUUAGAAAAUCGAUUCAGUAAGUUAUAUCGAGAUCAUUAAUUCUGGAUGAACCAAUUUACUCGGAGAUUGUAGUUGUUUUUUUAACUAUAUAAACCAGCUUUUCAACAAGUGAUUAUUUCAUAAACAUUACAAAAACUAUUUUCACACUGUACCUUAAUAGAUUUCUCCUAAACUAUUACAUAAUAGCACUUGCCAAAAAUAUUCUGACGAUAACCGGGCACAAUUUCUUAAAUAGAUAAUAUCUAUUGCGAUAGUAAUUAUAAUAUUUAAUUUAUAAUCAUUGUAUCAUUUUAAUUGCAUGAGCAAGGUCUGAUCAAAGGCAUAGGUACCAGUAAAAUAAGCCUAAAACUUCAAAUAUCUCAAUAAAAUUAAUAUUGAGUUUGACUCAACAUGAAAAUUUCAGUAUCUCAAUAAAAUUAAUAUGAAAGUAGCGUUGUGAAAUAUAAAGAGUAAGAUUAUUAUUAUUACCAUACUAAUAAAUUUAAAAGAUGUUUUCCAUAAUUUAAAAAAUAUAAAUUAAAAGUUAAAUAUAUAUUCAAAAACUCCAAAUGUUUUGUGUAUUGAAGAAAAGAGAAUGUGAUAUAAAGUAGAGAAUUAAUAUAUAUAGAACUAAACUCUUAAUAAAGAAUAAUACAAGGUUACUCAAUUACAAUUCAUUUUCAACAACUGAACAGGAAGUUAGUAAGAGGCCCAUUUCAUAUGCUACGUACGGCCUGUUAUAUUUUUUGCCCAAUUAAUUCGUUAUAGGCCCAAACAUAAGUCCACUACAUUCAAUUAUUUUCACAGCACAUAUUCAAAAGCUUCUCUGUACAGUUUGUUUAAUACAUCUCCCUCGAGCACUCACGGAGAGGCUUUUCUCUGGGCUUUUGUUUAACAAAUUUCCCUUUCAACUCUUUCACAGACCUGAGUAAAAAUAUACCGGCGGUAGCCGGGCACAAGUCCUAGUAGGUAUAUUUUCUUUAUUUUAUAAAUUAUGGAAUUCUGAGUUAUAAAGAUGUACACCUUGCAAAUUUAUACAUUUAAGUUAUGGAAACUGACAUCUUGGUUGCUAAAAUUCUUUGAUGGUGUUGAUUUGGUUCUGUAUGACUAGUGUUCUCAAAUUUGCUACGCGGCUAAACUACCUUCUAGCAGUUAAUUGGGUAAUAGGGAAUUAAUAAGAGCUUUAAUAGGUUGUAUUCUACUCCUUACAUGGCUUGUCCUUAUUCUUUGCUUGUCAUCAUGUUGGAGCAUUGAUCUAUGUAUUUUUGUCUCCGCACAGCAAAGAGAUUGCCCCGGCUGCAGCCAGUGGCCAACCCAUCUGGGAUGGUUCUUACCGGUAGGUCUGCUGAUAGAGCUGUUUCCACUUCUUGUUGCUCUUGAGCUUCUGUAAUGGUUCUAACAAUUGCAUC